Molecule: ribosomal RNA, 253 nt
Filed under: uncultured bacterium
Lineage: Bacteria
Description: partial 16S ribosomal RNA
Rfam family: Bacterial small subunit ribosomal RNA
Source: RNAcentral
UACGUAGGGUGCAAGCGUUAAUCGGAAUUACUGGGCGUAAAGCGUGCGCAGGCGGUUAUGCAAGACAGAUGUGAAAUCCCCGGGCUCAACCUGGGAACUGCAUUUGUGACUGCAUGGCUGGAGUGCGGCAGAGGGGGAUGGAAUUCCGCGUGUAGCAGUGAAAUGCGUAGAUAUGGGGCGGAACACCGGUGGCGAAGGCGGCCAUCUGGACGGUAACUGACGCUGAGCCGCGAAAGCGUGGGGAGCAAACAGG